GAUGAACGCUGGCGGCGUGCCUAAUACAUGCAAGUCGAGCGAACAGACGAGGAGCUUGCUCCUCUGACGUUAGCGGCGGACGGGUGAGUAACACGUGGAUAACCUACCUAUAAGACUGGGAUAACUUCGGGAAACCGGAGCUAAUACCGGAUAAUCUAUUGAACCGCAUGGUUCAAUAGUGAAAGACGGUUUUGCUGUCACUUAUAGAUGGAUCCGCGCCGCAUUAGCUAGUUGGUAAGGUAACGGCUUACCAAGGCGACGAUGCGUAGCCGACCUGAGAGGGUGAUCGGCCACACUGGAACGGAGACACGGUCCAGACUCCUACGGGAGGCAGCAGUAGGGAAUCUGCCGCAAUGGGCGAAAGCCUGACGGAGCAACGCCGCGUGAGUGAUGAAGGUCUUCGGAUCGUAAAACUCUGUUAUUAGGGAAGAACAAAUGUGUAAGUAACUAUGCACGUCUUGACGGUACCUAAUCAGAAAGCCACGGCUAACUACGUG
RNAcentral lists this ribosomal RNA (497 nucleotides) under uncultured bacterium. RNAcentral's name for it is "partial 16S ribosomal RNA". It matches the Rfam family "Bacterial small subunit ribosomal RNA", at positions 28 to 507 of the family's 1533-position model. The record is from RNAcentral.